UUCAAUCAAGAUCUAACUAAUCAUAUCAUGAUCUAUAGAUUAUCCAUCAUAUUUCAAACUCCAUAUGUCAUAAUCUCUUACGAUCCUUUUAUACAUAAUCUCAAUAUUUAAUCAAAAUUUAUAAAUAUUUCUCCCACUACAAUCAUCAAAGAUCUAUACUAUAAUGUCCCUAGUGUCUAUCCACUUACACCCAUUCUAUAUCU
Molecule: long non-coding RNA, 203 nt
Filed under: Elaeis guineensis (African oil palm)
Lineage: Eukaryota; Viridiplantae; Streptophyta; Magnoliopsida; Arecales; Arecaceae
Description: long non-coding RNA (EGUI_LNC053316)
Source: RNAcentral